UUAAUUAAGCGCCAGGACAAUUUAUUUAAAUUGUUGACGAGGUUAGAGCUUAUCGAAAUAUUCGGCGGAUGCUCUAGGGCUUUAUGUUACAGUCCUUAAAUAUUAAUUAAAACCUAAUAGUGAUAUUAGAACAGAGUUAAUAUUAAG
Molecule: non-coding RNA, 147 nt
Filed under: chicken gut metagenome
Description: glmS glucosamine-6-phosphate activated ribozyme
Rfam family: glmS glucosamine-6-phosphate activated ribozyme aptamer
About the family: This entry contains a glucosamine-6-phosphate activated ribozyme that is found in the mRNA for GlmS. GlmS is an enzyme that uses fructose-6-phosphate and glutamine to generate glucosamine-6-phosphate.
Source: RNAcentral